UUGAGCGAUUUACUUCGGUAAAGAGCGGCGGACGGGUGAGUAACGCGUGGGUAACCUACCCUGUACACACGGAUAACAUACCGAAAGGUAUGCUAAUACGGGAUAAUAUAUUUGAGAGGCAUCUCUUAAAUAUCAAAGGUGAGCCAGUACAGGAUGGACCCGCGUCUGAUUAGCUAGUUGGUAAGGUAACGGCUUACCAAGGCGACGAUCAGUAGCCGACCUGAGAGGGUGAUCGGCCACAUUGGAACUGAGACACGGUCCAAACUCCUACGGGAGGCAGCAGUGGGGAAUAUUGCACAAUGGGCGAAAGCCUGAUGCAGCAACGCCGCGUGAGUGAUGAAGGCCUUCGGGUCGUAAAACUCUGUCCUCAAGGAAGAUAAUGACGGUACUUGAGGAGGAAGCCCCGGCUAACUACGUGCCAGCAGCCGCGGUAAUACGUAGGGGGCUAGCGUUAUCCGGAUUUACUGGGCGUAAAGGGUGCGUAGGCGGUCUUUCAAGUCAGGAGUGAAAGGCUACGGCUCAACCGUAGUAAGCUCUUGAAACUGGGAGACUUGAGUGCAGGAGAGGAGAGUGGAAUUCCUAGUGUAGCGGUGAAAUGCGUAGAUAUUAGGAGGAACACCAGUUGCGAAGGCGGCUCUCUGGACUGUAACUGACGCUGAGGCACGAAAGCGUGGGGAGCAAACAGGAUUAGAUACCCUGGUAGUCCACGCUGUAAACGAUGAGUACUAGGUGUCGGGGGUUACCCCC
RNAcentral lists this ribosomal RNA (747 nucleotides) under Clostridioides difficile. Its description in RNAcentral is "bacterial SSU rRNA". It matches the Rfam family "Bacterial small subunit ribosomal RNA", at positions 62 to 841 of the family's 1533-position model. The record is from RNAcentral. Lineage: Bacteria; Bacillati; Bacillota; Clostridia; Peptostreptococcales; Peptostreptococcaceae.